GCACCAAACUUUAACUGCUAGGCCAUCAGGGCUGGCCCAGAAUGGUAUUUUUUAGAGUCUUGCUUCUUUUUGCAUUUGCCACCCAUUAUCAAUCCUGAUAGUGUCACUCACAAGCAGCAAUGUCAUUCAAUCCUGCUGUUGUCACCCAGUCCAGAAGGGAAACAGAGAAGUAAGACUAAAGAGCAAAGGGGUCUAAACUGCUCUUUACUCUUACAUUUGCCUUGCUUACAUCUUUAAGUCAUGUGGAAUGUCACAGAAUUUUAAAUCACCGUCUUUACUUAUAAUUCAACCUAAUGAAUAUGGUUUUACUCAGAAAAAACAAAGAGCAAAUCUAAAACUUUUGAAUAAUAAUAUUUAAGAUUUUAUCUUCCAGGUCAAUACUGAAUUUCAUUGACAUUUGGUGGAAUAAUAUCUAGCAUGUUUCUAUCCAAACCUUUUAACCAUCUCACUCGAUAUGGUAUGAAGCAUGAAGAACUAUUUUUUGUUUGUUUGUUUACUAGUGAAGGAAUAAUACAAAUGCUUGCUUAGCAACUUCAGAUCUGGAGACAACAAUUGUGUCAUUCUCAUGUGAAGAACAACACAAGUGCGUGCGAAUUCCCAGUGCAUUCACGCCGACAAAUGUGUCAGGCACUGGCCCAAACACAUGGGAUAGAGCAGUAAGGAAGGCAGACGAGGUCCCUGUUUUCCUGGAGGAGAUAGACAAUAAACAAACAAAUUUUCAACAUAAUAUUAUGCAGGGAUCCUAAUUAUGAAGGAAAUUAAGGAAGAUAAGGGCUAGAGAGUGACGGGGGCUCUUAGGUGAGGUGGCCAGUGAAGGUGACCCUCAGGACGUGACAGCUGAGCCGGGAGCUGCAGCAGUAGAGGUGGCUUCAAGUUCAUCUGAUAAACAUGUAAUUUAGGUGUCAGGCUAUGAAUUUAAUAUCCCUUAAAGGCAGAAUUUUUUAUUAUCCCCAACCCCAUCCAAGAGACAUAGUUAACUCCGCUUUACAAAAAGUAGCAUAUUUCUAUGUGCAGUUAUGUCCACAGAGAAACUGUUCGAUUUUUUGUUGUAUGUGUGUGACUGUGUGUGUCUGGUCUCAUUCGUUUCAUUUCACUUUAGUUCUACAGAUCCUGAUUGAGUAGUGAUUGCUGUGUUCCAGGCUUUAGUCUAGGCUGUUGCCAUACAUCAGUGCAUGGAACAGAUAAAGAUCCCUACAUUCUAGCAGGAAAAGACAAGCAGUAAGAAACAAAGAAAUGACUUACCCGGGAUCACACCUGAGAAAUCACCAGGGUCAUUUCACGCCCGAUUCCGUGUGACUCCAGUUCUGUGUGACACCCUUUGAAGUGGUUGGGAUCCAGACAUGAGGUCACAAUCAACUAAUUCACCUUUCAAAUGUUUUUUGAACCUCGACUGAAUGCUGGCACUGUGCUGGUUCUUACCGUCAGGAGCUUAGAUUCCAGUCGGAGGGACAGAGCAAAGAAGUGAACAAAGUCAAUAUGUGCUAUAAAGUAAAUAUGCGUUUUUUAAUAAAGAAUGGUUAUGACGUA
Equus caballus (horse) is the source of this 1527-nucleotide non-coding RNA. Lineage: Eukaryota; Metazoa; Chordata; Mammalia; Perissodactyla; Equidae. The record is from RefSeq and is a predicted model, not a curated record.